Molecule: ribosomal RNA, 497 nt
Filed under: uncultured bacterium
Lineage: Bacteria
Description: partial 16S ribosomal RNA
Rfam family: Bacterial small subunit ribosomal RNA
Source: RNAcentral
GAUGAACGCUGGCGGCGUGCCUAAUACAUGCAAGUCGAGCGAACAGACGAGGAGCUUGCUCCUCUGACGUUAGCGGCGGACGGGUGAGUAACACGUGGAUAACCUACCUAUAAGACUGGGAUAACUUCGGGAAACCGGAGCUAAUACCGGAUAAUAUAUUGAACCGCAUGGUUCAAUAGUGAAAGACGGUUUUGCUGUCACUUAUAGAUGGAUCCGCGCCGCAUUAGCUAGUUGGUAAGGUAACGGCCUACCAAGGCAACGAUGCGUAGCCGACCUGAGAGGGUGAUCGGCCACACUGGAACUGAGACACGGUCCAGACUCCUACGGGAGGCAGCAGUAGGGAAUCUUCCGCAAUGGGCGAAAGCCUGACGCAGCAACGCCGCGUGAGUGAUGAAGGUCUUCGGAUCGUAAAACUCUGUUAUUAGGGAAGAACAAAUGUGUAAGUAACUAUGCACGUCUUGACGGUACCUAAUCAGAAAGCCACGGCUAACUACGUG